This 441-nucleotide ribosomal RNA is filed under the name uncultured bacterium. RNAcentral describes it as "partial 16S ribosomal RNA". It matches the Rfam family "Bacterial small subunit ribosomal RNA", at positions 338 to 795 of the family's 1533-position model. The record is from RNAcentral.
CCUACGGGGGGCAGCAGUGGGGGAUAUUGCACAAUGGGGGGAACCCUGAUGCAGCGACGCCGCGUGGGUGAAGGAGUGCUUCGGCAUGUAAAGCCCUAUCGGCAGGGAAGAAGCAAGACGGUACCUGACUAAGAAGCCCCGGCUAACUACGUGCCAGCAGCCGCGGUAAUACGUAGGGGGCGAGCGUUAUCCGGAUUCACUGGGUGUAAAGGGAGCGUAGACGGCCAUGAAGGCCAGGGGUGAAAGCCCGGGGCCCAACCCCGGGACUGCCCUUGGAACUGUGCGGCUAGAGUGCGGGAGGGGCAGGCGGAAUGCCUGGUGUAGCGGUGAAAUGCGUAGAUAUCAGGAGGAACACCGGCGGCGAAGGCGGCCUGCUGGACUGCGACUGACGUUGAGGCUCGAAAGCGUGGGGAGCGAACAGGAUUAGAUACCCCAGUAGUC